UCAUGGAGAAAAGAGCUGGCAAAACUCUGGGGCGUCCAAUUCUUGGAUAUACAAAGAGAACAGGAAAGAGGUCACAGGUGGAUUUUGCGCUUGUGGUCUGUGGAAGGGAGGUGACUGUUAAUAAUCCGUUCUCUGAGGUGUGUUCAGCUCUGUGUGGGACAGGUGUGGGUGUGCUGCCCAGCCUGUGCUCCCCACCAGCUCAGCUCUUGGAGGGAGGUUCAG
Molecule: non-coding RNA, 222 nt
Organism: Sturnus vulgaris (Common starling)
Lineage: Eukaryota; Metazoa; Chordata; Aves; Passeriformes; Sturnidae
Source: RefSeq, a predicted model, not a curated record